UACAUGGGGUGCAAACGUUGCUCGGAAUCAUUGGGCGUAAAGCGUACGCAGGCUGUUCGUUAAGUCGGGUGUGAAAGCCCAGGGCUCAACCCUGGAAUGGCGCCCGAAACUGGCGAGCUUGAGUGCGGGAGAGGGAAGCGGAAUUCCUGGUGUAGAGGUGAAAUUCGUAGAUAUCAGGAGGAACACCGGUGGCGAAAGCGGCUUCCUGGCC
RNAcentral lists this ribosomal RNA (211 nucleotides) under uncultured bacterium. Its description in RNAcentral is "partial 16S ribosomal RNA". It matches the Rfam family "Bacterial small subunit ribosomal RNA", at positions 524 to 734 of the family's 1533-position model. The record is from RNAcentral.